CGCUAAGCACGCCCACGAAGUGUAGUGGACGUCUUUGGAAGUGGACGUUUUUGUAAACAAAUGUUCACGAGAUAAAGGAAAUGACUUUGGUAAAGAAGAAGGCAUUUCAGACAGGACUUCGCUUGAAAUCCUAAUCUAUCAAAUUUGAGUUUUUGCUUAACUGAAGACUUGCCUUGUAUCAAAACGACUUCAUAGAAGUAUCGAAACUCCUGUAGGAACGAGGAACCAUAGAGCAGGAACCAGGAACCGAAAAAAAGGACCAGAAACCAGGAGCCGAAAAACAAGGACCAGAAACUAGGAGCCGAGAAAUAAGAACCAGGAACCGAGAAACGAGGACAAGGUACCAGGAGUUAAGAACCAUGAAGCAGGGAUUAGGAACCACAAACCAUGGACCAGGAAACAGGAACCAGAGACUAUGGACCAGGAAACAGGAACCGAAAUUCAGGAACCAUUGAUCAUGGACCAAGAAGAACCAGGGAUCAGGAACCAUGAACCAAGAAUCAUGAACUAAGACCAGGAAACACGGACCACGAACCAUGGACUAGAAAAUAGGAACAACUGACCAUGAACCAAGAACCAGGAACCACGAACCAUGGACCAGAAAACAUAAACAACUGACGAUGAACCAAGAACCAGGGACCACGAACCAUGGACUAAGAAUCAUGAACUAAGACCAGGAAACAGGAACCACGAACCAUCGACCAAGAACCAGGGACCACGAACCAUGGACCAGGAAACAGGAACAAGUGAUCAUGAACCAAGAACCAGGGGCCAUGGUCCAGGAAUCAAGGAAUCAGGAACAGUGGACUAAAAAGGUUGAGAGAGAGAACUUUUCUGAAGAUACUGCUCAACCCUCACUGCGUGGCAGGAAUGGGGCCUUAUAAUCGGUCUCAUGGCGUUUCGUGGGUGACUGGUCAAGUCUAAUCCACGACUACAAGUUGAACCAAUUACUCCUGAAUGGCUCAUCACUACAGGGCUUCUGUGUGAAAUAAAUUCGAAGUAUUCUCAUGGUGUAUAAGCGGGCAGAAGAUUAUACACAACUCAAGGGAAUUUCUACAAAUCAGAAAUACUACAAACUUGUAGAAAUUUUUGAAAGAAGAGACAGCAAAAAUGAUUGCUGCUGAAAAAGGAACAAGAAAACAGAGUAUGACAUCGAAUAACACUCUAAUGAAGAAAAGAAGUCGGGCGAAAGACAAUUAUUUCAAGAAAUCAUAUAAAUGAGGAACCUACAAGACAGGAUCGCCCAGCACAAAAGAAAAAAAAUUACUCCUUAAUAUUAAUGUUAAAGAGAUCAUAAUCUUAAAGAUACUAUUAAAACUAUGUUAGUACUGUAAAAUGUAUAGUCACGAGCUAGUGUUGUUUUAUCAGAGUCAAAAUAGUGCCUAUUGGCCAGCAAGUUUUAGUUAAUCAGGGUCAUAACAGUUCCUAUUGGCCAGCAAGUUUUAGUUAAUCAGGGUCAAACAGUGCCUAUUGGCCAACAAGUUUCAGUUAAUCAGGGUCAAACAGUGCCUAUUGGCCAACAAGUUUCAGUUAAUCAGGGUCAUAACAGUGCCUAUUGGCCAGCAAGUUUUAGUUAAUCAGGGUCAUAACAGUGCCUAUUGGCCAGCAAGUUUUAGUUAAUCAGGGUCAUAACAGUGCCUAUUGGCCAGCAAGUUUUAGUUAAUCAGGGUCAUAACAGUGCCUAUUGGCCAGUAAGUUUUAGCUAAUCAUGGUAUUAAUGAUGCCUAUUGGCCAGCAAGUUUUAGUUAAUCAGGGUCAUAACGAUGCCUAUUGGCCAGCAAGUUUUAGUUAAUCAGGGUCAUAACUACCUAUUGGUCAGCAAGUUUCAGUUAAUCAGGG
Molecule: long non-coding RNA, 1839 nt
Organism: Macrobrachium nipponense
Lineage: Eukaryota; Metazoa; Arthropoda; Malacostraca; Decapoda; Palaemonidae
Exons: 4
Source: RefSeq, a predicted model, not a curated record